RNAcentral lists this ribosomal RNA (362 nucleotides) under uncultured bacterium. RNAcentral describes it as "bacterial SSU rRNA". It matches the Rfam family "Bacterial small subunit ribosomal RNA", at positions 8 to 352 of the family's 1533-position model. The record is from RNAcentral.
AGAGUUUGAUCAUGGCUCAGAAUGAACGCUAGCGGCGUGCUUAACACAUGCAAGUCGUACGAGAACUCUUUAGCUUGCUAAAGAUAGUAAAGUGGCGCACGGGUGAGUAACGCGUGGGUAAUUUACCUCUGAAUUUGGGAUAACUCCGCGAAAGCGGGGCUAAUACCGGAUAAAAUCUUUCGGAGGGAUCUGAAAGAUCAAAGGUGGCCUCUCCAUGGAUGCUACCGCCUGAGGAUGAGCCUGCGUCCCAUUAGCUUGUUGGUAGGGUAAUGGCCUACCAAGGCUACGAUGGGUAGCUGGUCUGAGAGGAUGAUCAGUCACACUGGAACUGGAACACGGUCCAGACUCCUACGGGAGGCAGC